RNAcentral lists this ribosomal RNA (293 nucleotides) under uncultured bacterium. Its description in RNAcentral is "partial 16S ribosomal RNA". It matches the Rfam family "Bacterial small subunit ribosomal RNA", at positions 505 to 796 of the family's 1533-position model. The record is from RNAcentral.
GUGUCAGCAGCCGCGGUAAGACGUAGGGGGCGAGCGUUAUCCGGAUUCACUGGGCGUAAAGGGCGCGCAGGCGGCUACGUAAGUCCGGCGUGAAAUCCCAUGGCUUAACUGUGGAACUGCGUCGGAUACUGCGUUGGCUUGAGGAUGGUAGAGGCCAUUAGAACUAGCGGUGUAGCGGUGAAAUGCGCAGAUAUCGCUAGGAAUGCCGGUGGCGAAGGCGGAUGGCUGGGCCACUCCUGACGCUGAGGCGCGAAAGCUAGGGGAGCGAACCGGAUUAGAUACCCCCGUAGUCC